AUAAAGGCCACCAGCACUGUUUUCUCUCACAGAAGAUGGGUUCCCAGCACUCACAUGGUGGCUCACAACCAUCUGCAACUCUAGUACCAAGGGAUCUGAUGCCCUCUUCUGACUUCCGAAGCCACGAGGCAUGCACGUGGUGAAUAUUUAUAUAUGCAGAAUGAACUUACACAUACAAGAUAAAAAAUAAAAAUAUGCCUAAACCUGGAAACAAUCCACUGCCAAUCCAAAAAAUGAGUAGUUAAAACUGUAGUCAGUCCAUAAAAUGUUACUACCAACUACUGACAGAGGAGCACAGGUGAUCUUUACUCCAGCUACUCCAGGGGCUGGAGAGAUGACUCAGCAAUUGAGAGCAUUGCUGCUCUUCCUGAGGACCCAGGUCCAAUCCCCAACAAUCAUAUGGCAACUCAGAACCAUCCACAACUCCAGUCCCAGAGGAUCUGAUGCUUUCUGGUCUCCAAUGGUACUGUAUGCACUUAGUGCACAACCAUACAUACAGGCAAAAACCCAUACAUACAAAUAUAUAAUAAAAAAUAACUAAAAUGGAGCUCCCAUGAUUGUGGUGAUACAUUAUUUAUGAUUUAUUAAAGCCACCAGAGAUCAAAAUAGCAAAGCAGGCAUAUUAGUUAGCCAUAGAAGACAAGUAGUAGUGGCACACACCUUUAAUCCCAGGACUCAGGAGACAAAGGUAGAUGUAUCUCUCUGAGUUUAAGUCCAACCAGGGUCAGUCUAAAGAGAAAAGAGAGCUCAUGCCUUUAAUUGCAGGACUCAGGAGAGGUAUUUAAGACAGGUACAGGUUCUCAGAGCUGGCAUUCAUUUUUCAGCCACAUUGAGGAUAGGAAGCAUUCAUUCUCCAGCCACACGGAGGAAAGGAAGGUUGGUUUGGUGAGAGCGCUCAGACAGGGUCCCCUUCAGCCUAAGGUAGAGGUAAGAGCUAGUGACUUGGCUGCUUUGCUCUUCUGAUCUUCAGCUCGAAGCUUGAACCCCAUUGUCUCUGGGCUCUUAUUUUUCAUGCUACAAGUGAUGGCAUAGCAGUGAAGAACAUUUGUUGGGGCUGGAGAGAUGGCUCAGCAGUUAAGAGCACUGACUGUUCUUCCCGAGGUCCUGAGUUCAAUCCCCCACAUGGUGGCUCACAACUGCCUUGAAUGAGAUCUGGUGCCCUCUGCCUGCAUGCAGGCAGGAGACUGUAUACAUAAUAAAUAAAAUCUUAAAAAAAAAAGAACAUUUGUUGUUUUUGUAGAGGGCCUAGGACCAAUUCCCAAUACUCAAAUGGUGGCUCACAAUCAUCUAACUACAGUUCCUGGGGGGCCUGAUGCUCUCUUCUGACCUCUACAGGCACCAAGCACACGUUACACAAAACACAUGUGAUACACAUACAUAUGUGGUAUACAGGCAGGCAAUACAUACAUAAAAUUUAAUAAAAAAAUUAGAGUGACUCCAUGUGAAAGUUGUUUCCUUACACUGAGCAAAGCGGCCCUAUCUCUAGUGUCAGCAGCCACCCAGGCUGCAGAGCUCCUGGGGACACAAUGGAAAUGGCUCUGGUGGUGGUUUCAUGUGCAUGUGUCUCACCGUGUUUAAGUGUGAGCCCUGAAAGAAGCAGAAUAAGAGUAGCUGGGACCAUGAGGUUUGCACUGGUCUCUUCCUGGAAGGAGAUUCUGCAUCCAGAGUGAACAUUCUGUGGAAGGCUUGGAGAGAGGGACUGCUGCUGACAGGGAUUAGCAGCACGAGCAGAGGACGAGCUUGGAUGAGAUGACAGACCUCAGAAGGGAGAUGGUGAGGCUGGGGAGGCGUGGAGGAAGCAGAGUCAAAGUUUCAGGGGUGAUAAAAGAGCACCUGUUGAUGGCUGUGGUCUGUACCCCAGUCAAAGAAGUAUGUGAGGCUAGAGAGCAGAAUCAUCCCGGGUAGCCUUUCCCCACUCCCGACUUUUCCUCUCCCUGUGGUCUCGGCUUUGGCUAGUCAGAAGCUCUGCGCCACUUGGAAAGCUGGAGUUCCAGAAGUCAAGGCCUGCCACUAUUUUCCCUGCCACACAGCUGCCUCAGGUGGCAUCUCUCCCUAGGGAGCUUUGCCUCCCUGGCCUGUCUCAUGAAAUGCAUCUCUGGUCUGGUGCCAGGCUUGCAGAUUCAGUCGCAUCAAACACUUUUGUAAAACUGGUCUGCAGAGCACAGACACAACCUCGGGGGCACUGGCAAUGCUGUUUGGCAGUGCUCUUCUCUAGUUCGGAUGUGCCCAGAACAGCGCCCAUGCAGUGGGGCCACAGCACUGCUUAGCAGAGCCUUGGUGAGAUGUCAGGCUUCAUCAGUGUAAAGAAAGACUGGCUCACAGCUUCAGUUCUCAGCAAUCAUGAGGUGAGAGAGUGGCAGGGCAGCUCACACCUUGGCAGCUAGCAGGGAGGAGAGAGGAAGGGAGGGGAAGAGAAGGGGGGAAGAGGGAGAGAGGAAGAGACACAGACAGAGUACAAGCACUCUUUCUCCCUUUCUCCUCAAACCCCCACCCCCACUUAGUAAACCCUCUCUGAACAAGCCCUUGGGCACACCCAGAGGGGGGUUUAUCUAUCUCGGUGUCUUUCUUUUCUUUUCUUCCUUCCUUCCUUUCUUUUCUUUUGGGACAGUAUUUCUCUGUGUAGCCCUGGCUGUCCUGGAACUCUCUAUGCAGACCAGGCUGGCCUUAAACUCACAGAGAUCUGCUUGCCUCUGCCUCCUGAGUGCUGGGAUUCAAGGCUUGAACUACCACUGCCAGGCAUCUAGGCAUCUUUAAGUAAAAUUAACCAUCAUACUGGUUCUGGGGCUCCUUGAAAGAGUGUUAAAAGAAACAUGGUGGCAAGCGGGCAUAGGGGCAUACUCCUUUAAAUGCAAUACACUUGGGAGGCAGAGCACACCCUAUACUUUCAAAGAAACAUGGCGGAUCAACCCCUGCCCUAGCUGCUUCCACCAUAGCUGACUGAGUACCCUAGAGAAACAACUUAAGGGCUGUUUGGAACCCUGGCUUCAGCUCAUGGCAGGAAGGACACAGUAGAACAGAGCCGUUUACACAUGGCAGUCAACAAGCACAUGCCCACCCCUACUGACAUACUUCCCCCAGCUAGGCCUCAAGUUCCCACAAUCUGGAACACCACCACCACUAGCUGGGGACCUAGAAUUCUACCGCAGGGGCGGUGGGGACAUUUCAAGCCCUGAACCCAUAAAUAGCCCUCUACCCGUGUGGUUCUUUUUGCUAAAUAAAUUAAUUACAGCAAAGCCAUUGGCACCCGCUCUUCUCUAAUAACAGCGGCUUGUUUUCAAGACCUAUAUUGUGGGGAAGCAGAGGGCAUUUAAUAACAAAAUUAGUAAUUCACAAUUUUUACUCAGCAUUUUCAGUUAUACUCCCAAUGGUGUAAAGAACUAUGUUCUAGAAUCUGCCACUUCCAUAUUGUCGACCCGUAACUGGGGGUAUGGUUAAAUCAGUCAGUAAUGGACAACAGCCAUAUAAAUCUGUAUGCUACUAACAUGGAAAGUUCUUCAAGAUGUUUUGUACGUAAUAAGAUACAAAAUAGUAUACCAUUGCUCAUUAUUAUAGUCAUUAGGCUGUGUAUAAAGAAGUAACAUUGGAGUGAUGUGUAGGUGGUGGUCUGAAUGAGAACGGUCCCCCAGUAGGCUCAGAAUGUUUGACUACUGGGUUCCCAGUGAGUGGAACUCUGAGGAUUAGAACCAUUAGGUGUGGCCUUGUUGGAGGAAGUGUGUCAUUGUAGGUUGAAUGCUGAGGUUUCAAAAAUCCGGGUCAAACUCAAUGUCUCUCUCUGCCGAUGGGUCAGGAUGUAUGUGGCUCUCAGCUACUUCUCUAGCAGUCCCCUGCCUGUCCCAUGCUCUCUGCCUUGCUGAUAAUGGAACUGUAAGCCAGCCCCAGUUAAAUGCUUUCUUACUGAGUUGCCAUGGUCAUGGUGUCUCUUCACAGCAAAAGAACAGUAACUAAGACUGCCUCAGACCACUUAGGCUGGCCGGGCAUUGUAGCACAUGCUUGAGCCUCAACACUUGGGAGGCCGAGGUACGAGGACUGCAGGUUGAAAGUCAGCAUGAGAGACACAGUGAGAUUCUACCUCAAAACAAAAUGGAACAUUGAAGACAAUGUUAGCCAGGAGGGUAGGGGACAUCACUUCCCUGCAAGUUUCUGCCUGUCAGCUUUUCUAUAAAGACCCAGUGUUAUUUUCCUUAUUAAUGAAAUUUGGACCAUAAGUUUUUGUGCUGAACACUUAUACUGUUUCAAAUUUAGCCUUCCCAUAAUCACGGACAUGGAUGCUAUUGGCUCUGGAUAAGACUUACAGUUAGCUUGCUCCAUCUCACCCAGCUGGUAUAAAGACAAGGUAAAGAUGACUCACCUCAAACCCUUUCUUCUGUCUCUUUGCUUAGAAGCUUGCUGCUGAGAUGUGGACUAGCUAAGUGGUCCAGUACUGGCACUGGCCUCCACCCAGCAUCACAGUCAACACCCCCACACCUGGCUGUGUGAGCCCCCUGCCCCCGAGACUCCAUGGAGUCUUUGGCACUCUCAUGUUCUCUUUCAGUGCCUUUGCAUCUGAGCAAAUGGGGUGGCGCUUUGGGGGGGAGUGCAGAGCUCCGCGUCUCCCGAGAGACCUGCACUACUUUGCAUCUUAGGGUACUGAUCUUCACCAAUGGCACUGUUCUGGUGCAGUGAAUUCUGGUGAGAGGAAAGCUGACGGAGCACAUCCCAAAGCAAUGCGUGUCCAGCAAAUACUGACAAAACAGAGGAAGGACUCAAACCCAGGAGCAACCCCCAGUGGUGUGACAAGGAAUCCAAUCCAGUCUCUUGUUAGCUGAUUGACCUCAGGUGGGCAUUUAACGUCUCCAGAUCUUGGUAUUUUCAUUUAGAAAAUGCAGAUCAUGGUUACAGCACCUAGAUCAUAGGCAAGAUGAAAUUAGCCCACAUAUAUAAAAUAGGACACUGCCUG
This 4936-nucleotide long non-coding RNA is filed under the name Cricetulus griseus (Chinese hamster). RNAcentral describes it as "lncRNA (ENSCGRG00015034193.1)". The record is from RNAcentral. Lineage: Eukaryota; Metazoa; Chordata; Mammalia; Rodentia; Cricetidae.